GGGGAUUUAGCUCAAUGGUAGAGCGCUUGCCUAGCAAGCGCAAGGCCCUGGGUUCGGUCCCCAGCUCCCG
RNAcentral lists this transfer RNA (70 nucleotides) under Rattus norvegicus (Norway rat). It matches the Rfam family "tRNA". From Rfam's summary of the family: Transfer RNA (tRNA) molecules are approximately 80 nucleotides in length. The record is from Rfam by way of RNAcentral. Lineage: Eukaryota; Metazoa; Chordata; Mammalia; Rodentia; Muridae.